CCUGUAAAUUUACAUGGAAAUUUAACAGCAAAUUGCUGUUUCCAUGUAAUAACAGCAUUUUGCUUUUUUUUACAAUGCAUUAUGGGAAGACUUGUUCACUUCGGGUUGCGUGGUCGAUCAACAACAAUUUGACACUGUUAUUUAACAGUACUAUACCCUAUUUUCAUCCAAUGAGCACAAGGCGCCAGUUUGGAAUAUCAGAUUGAGGUAGGUUUGCAACGAUUUAUUAUUUUAUUAUCUUUAAAUGACCUAUUACUUUAAAAUAUAACAUCUUAAACUUCUAAUAAAGCUUCUGUGAUUUAAAUCAGAUGCCUCAAUUAAAUUAUGUGUUUUAACUAACGUUAUAGGCAAAUAAUUGGUCAACCGAUCCCAGACUGCCAUCAUACAGCCAUCUUUAUUACACAACACAGAUGUCUGCCACUCCUGCUGACCUCGAAAAGAUGGGGAACCUGCCUGUGAGUCCUCGUUUGAUCCUGCUUGGUGUUAAUCCGGGCCAAUGGAUGAAACAAUGGAUGAUCAGCCUCGAAGGCCGAAUAAUCUGUGAGGGUGUGCAGCCAACCUUUAUCUCUGGACUUGCUGCAUUGUUCUCUUCGUAUUACAUUUUUAAUUUGCAGUACCAAGAGGAAGCAGCAUCCACACUAGAAUUCCUUCAAAGGUAACAAGUUUGGACUUAUUUUAUUUAUUUCUAAUUAAUAUGUUAGUAUUAGUAUGGUGACAAUAGAAUCCUCAAGCCAUUCUUACUUUCUUCUUUGAGCCGAACACAGUCGGAGUUAUAAAGAGAAAAUAAUAUUCUGGCUUCCCAGCUUUGCAAUGGCAUUGAAUAGAUCCCGAGUUUUUGAAGCUCCAAAAACCGCAUCCAUCCAUCAUAAAAUCCAUACGACUCCAGGGGGUUAAUGAAGUGAAGCGAUGGUUUUUUGUAAGAAAAAUAUCCAUGUUUAUAACUUUUAUCAGCUAUAAUCACUGGCUUCCAGAAACAGCCGUACGCGAGUUCCAGAUAGAGUCGAGUUCCGGCAGAAGAAUGACCUUUGACCCGACAUAUGAAAUCUUAUAUCAAAGUCCUAUUCUUUCAAAACGUCUUAAGCCCUAUUCGGACGGGACUAGCUUCACAGGGGGACGUUAGAGAAAUUUAUGCUUGACAGAUGUACUUUGAGAUUUGAAUCCUGUCCGAAUCUGCCAUGUCUGUCUUUUUCUCACACGACCUCUGUAAAAAUUCCAGAGCAAAUGACCUACUGUUUUUCGUCAAACUCGAGGGUCCUCAGAUUAAUCUAAUCCUGUCCGAAUGCGAAUGUCUGUGAUUGCCAAAAAAGUUUUUUUUCCAAAACGCUUUUUCUUGUGUGUUUUAGUCAACGUGAACUACCAUAAAAUCUCUCGCCGGUAUUCAAGUUUCUGCUUUUUGCGCACCGAUAAUGGAUGUAGAUGUGACGCAUUCGUCAGUUCAAACCUAAGCUUUCGCUACGUCUUCGCCAUACGUCCUACGUCAUGCGUCAGGUCAGAGGUCACCCUUCCGCCAGAACUCAACUCAAUUAUGAACACGCAUAUGGUCAUGCCAUGAUUAUAUUUUAUGAAUUUAUAAAAUAAAGAUAUCUUUCUUAAAAAAGGCAUGGCUUUCCUUAUUAGACAUUUAUUAACCCCACUGGAUACAUAUCGAUAACUUUUAUGCUUUAUUGAUGCGUUUAUUGGAGCUUCACAAACUUUACAAAUCUGGGAAGGAUGUUAUGCAUUAUGGCUGGAAGAAGAAAGCCAUAUACACUUAUGGUUUGAGGGUGAGUAAAUUAUGGGAUAAAUUAUUGUUUGGGAUUAACUAUUCCUUUUAAAUCAUUGUUCACUGAAGAUAUUAUCCUCUUAUUUUUCAGACAUUUUUGCAUUUUGAUGGGUGUUUAAUUGUAUGCACUGAAUAGUACUUGACUAGUAUUUUUUUAUUUGCCUAUUUUAGUUUACAAUAAUUGAGCAGAAUUUAUCUGGUGUUGUAUCAGAAUAAUAAAAAAAAAUACUAACUUGUCUUUAUUCCUUUUUUGUAAUCCAUGACAAAAAUAAUGUGCAGGGUUAUAAUAGCAUUUAGAAUUGAAAUUAUUGGGGUUUCAUUGUAAAAACUAAUACUGUAAAAAAACAGUUAACUACUGGCAGCUGUGGUUGCCAUUAUCAUACUGUAAAAAU
Carassius auratus (goldfish) is the source of this 2154-nucleotide long non-coding RNA. RefSeq lists it as uncharacterized. The record is from RefSeq and is a predicted model, not a curated record. Lineage: Eukaryota; Metazoa; Chordata; Actinopteri; Cypriniformes; Cyprinidae. The transcript is spliced from 3 exons.